UCGGCGACCGCAAGGCGAUAAGCCGCUUCAAUAAAAACUAGGGGAUUUGGGGUCGAACUCUUUGACUGUAGUUGAGGGGAAGGUAGCAGAGAAUCACAGUGGGCCGAAGAACGGAAAACGCAAUGAAGAGUCCUCGGAAAUUGAGUGUGAAAGUUGCUUUUCCCACUAAAAUACAUCAAGUAUAUGCCCAACCUUCAUGAAAGCCAAUAGAGAACCAAAGCGCCUUUUUGUGGGUGGCCUUAGUGAGACGGUUUCAGAGACAGACCUACAAAAUCAGUUCAGCAGAUUUGGAGAAGUUUCUGAUGUGGAGAUCAUCACACGGAAAGAUGACCAAGGAAACCCACAGAAAAUUUUUGCAUAUAUCAACAUCAAAGUAGCAGAAGCAGACCUGAAAAAAUGUAUGUCUGUUUUAAAUAAAACAAAAUGGAAAGGUGGAACACUGCAAAUUCAGCUAGCAAAAGAAAGCUUUUUGCACAGAUUGGCCCAAGAAAGAGAAGAAGCAAAAGCAAAAAAAGAAAAAUUAACAAGCAGCACCAACUUGUUAGAAAAAAUGGGAGGGGCAAAUUUCCAUAUGAAAGCUGUGCCAGGAACAGAAGUGCCAGGGCACAAGAAUUGGGUUGUGAGUAAAUUUGGAAGAGUCUUACCUGUUCUUCACCUUAAGAAUCAACAUAAACGUAAAAUUGUAAAAUAUGAUCCAUCAAAAUAUUGCCACAACCUUAAGAAGAUAGGGGAGGAUUUCACAAAUACCAUUCCUAUAUCCAGCCUCACUUGGGAAUUAGAAGGAGGAAACGACCCUAUGAGUAAAAAACGGCGUGGAGAGUUCUCUGACUUUCAUGGCCCGUCUAAGAAGAUGAUAAAAGUCCAAAAGGACAAAGCUCUCACUGGGUUGCUAGCCUCAAAUCCAAGGUCCAGUUCAGUAAUGGAGAGUCCGUACUUAACACAGCAACAAGCUACACAAAAGAGAACUUGUGAUUCCAUUACUCCUUCUAAAUCACCCCCUGUUUCUGGUUCUAAUACUCAGAAACUUAAAAAGGUACUUUUUCAGACAUCUGGCUUAGAAACUGUCAGGAAGAGAAAGAGCAUGUCUGAUGAUGAUUUUGAUUCUGAAGAUGAAUUAAGAGCAAUGAUUGCAAAAGAGGAAAAUUUACAGAGGACUAUGUGGUCCUCUAUAAAUGAAUCUGAAGAUGAUCCCUUUGAAGUUGUAAGGGAUGACUUCAAAUCAGAUGUUUACAAACUUUAUUCUUUAACAGAUUUAAGUGUCAAAAAUAAUGUUUCUGAUAAUAAUAUUGUGGGAAAUGACAGUGAGUAUGAUUCAGGAGAUACAGAUGAAAUCAUUGCAAUGAAAAAAAACAUUGAUAAAGUCAAAAACAGUAUAGAAUUUUCACAAAUGGAAAAAUCGAUACACAAGAAAACUUCUUUUAAAAACAGAGAAAACUCUGAUCUUUCUGGUCGUUGUAUUAAAGAUCAAAAAAGAAAAAAUGUAAAGUCAGCACUCGGCUAUGGGGUGAAACCUCUUAGUCUUAAAUCUCCACCUGACUCCAGCAGCAGUGAAGAUGCUGAUUCUGCAUCAGAAUUAGCUGUGUCUGAAGAAGAUGAGGAAUAUAAUGCCAUCAUGAAAAACUGUCUCCGUGUGAAUCUCACGUUAGCUGAUUUGGAACAGUUGGCUGGCAGUGAUCUGAAGGUUCAAAAUGAAGAUACCAAGAGUAAUAGCCCAAAAUCUAUAGCUCACUGCAAGUCUGACAGAGCCUCCAAGAGCCCUGACAGCCUCCACAGAGGCCGACAGUGUAUUCAUCCUGAAGAAAUUGUGGCUUCCCUUUUAGAAGGAGAGAAUUCUUAUUGUAAACAGAAAACAGAAGAAAACAUCUUAAAGCCAAAAUUUCAGGCUUUCAGGGGAAUAGGCUGUCUGUAUGAAAAGGAGUCAACAAAAAAAUCCUUGAAAGAGAAUGUCAUAAAUGGAGAUUGGAAUUCCUUUAAACACAAGGAUCCCAUGAGCAUUUCCACUGAAAGUGAUUCCACAUAUGCUAAUGGCUCAUCAAAUCAACUGACUCCAUGCCAACAUACAGAGAAGGCAAAUGGUCUACACCAUAUUCAGUCUCAAAAAAAACAGUUCACUUUUGAGAACCCAGAUCACAAGGUGGUAUCCUCCAGCAGUUCAGAAAAGGGAGGUAGGACUCCUAUUUCUAGUCUGUUGCCAUUAAAAGGAAAGAAAUCCUUAAGUGCAAAGACUUACAAGAUAGGCUCUGACAAAGAUAGUUGCCAUAGCACCACAAAGACAAAAUCUUCAGAGGAAGAGAGGUCUGAUUCAAGCAUCCUCACAUCUCUGGAUAAGUCACCAAAGGUGUCUUCCAGGAAGGACACACAGGAAAGCAAAACUGACUUCUCACUUUCUAUUAGUAAUUCUGCAGAUGUGAGUGCUGAAGAUAAGCAUUCCAUAGACAACCAGAAGCGUUUGGCAGCCUUGGAGGCAAGGCAGAAAGCAAAAGAAGUGCAAAAGAAGCUGGUGCAUAAUGCUCUAGCAAAU
Otolemur garnettii (small-eared galago) is the source of this 2521-nucleotide RNA transcript. It is a transcript of the gene named nucleolar protein 8 pseudogene, with no coding region annotated. The record is from RefSeq and is a predicted model, not a curated record. Lineage: Eukaryota; Metazoa; Chordata; Mammalia; Primates; Galagidae. The transcript has a single exon.